AUGGGUAUAAAGCUAUAGUAUCAUACCUUUUUGAGGUCACAAGUCUUCAUGUGCUACAGACCUACCUUCUUCACACCAUUAUACAGAAUGAGAUGUAUGAGAUGGCAUAACAUUUAUUCAACAAAGACAGAAAAUUAGCCAGUAAAAUGUUACAAGGAAAUAUUCAUGUCUUACACAUGUUAUCACAAAAGUUGAGGAAAAAUUGAAGAGAUUCAUUGAAGGAGCUUAUUCUCCAACGUGGAGAAAGUUAUUUUGCCUGGCCAGGAGGGGUACUCCCAGCAAAAUAUGUACUGGAGAAACACGUAAGUCUAUUACUUGAGGAGCUUUGGGCGGAAUAUCAAAGAAGUGCAGAGGAUAAGCUAUUGGAACUAUUGGAAAAGGAAAGCUUGCUCUAUUCUGCUGCAAAAGCAGGAAAUAUAGAGCUUUUAGUUAUGGUUAUUCACAGUCAUCCUGAACUCAUAUGGCAACCUGACUAUCAAAACUGGACCAUUUCCAUGUUGCGGUUUUAUAUCGAGAGGAAAAAGUCUUCAGUCUUAUACACCAAAUAGGAGGAAUGUAAAACUUUCUUCAAAUAUAUGAUAAUGAUGGCAAUACCAUUCUACAUUUAGCUGGGAGGUAGGGCAGGGCAGCCACUCCGUCAGCAGAAAACUGGACAGAUGCUGAUAUUAAUGAUGUAUUCGUAGAAUCACAACAACAGUUAUUUCAAGAGAUUAGACAGUCUGUUAAGGUAUUUCCUCUCUUUUUAAACUAUACAUGUUGCUUCAUUCCAAUUUAACACAGAUACAAGAAAUAUUGUAUAAUCAAAAAGUCCCGUUGUUUGGAUUAAUCACCAUUGUUUAAAUAAUGAGCUGACCAACAGGAGGAAGAGAAGAUUAUGCCGCCAUCAUUUCUCAGGGUUUCUGGAGCAGCACUUCAAAUGCAAAGAGAGCUAUUGUGGUUCACGGUGAAAAAUUACCUAAAAGUAAAUUUUCCAAUCGGAAACACAUCUUGUUGCAUUUAUAUAUUUUAAGAGUGAAUUAAAGACGUACAUUUUUAGCGUUUUCUAUAAUGGGCAGCGUUACGGCUUUUAAAAUUUUUGCAUUGCUGCGGAAUGAUUAGUUACUAAUUUUCUAGCGAGAAACUUGCAUCUUCACUCCACAAGGUGAGAAACAACGAUGGGAGAACCCCUAGGGAAUUAUUCAUAGAAGAUCACAAGCUAUUACUAAAAGAAGGGAAAAGGUGGAUGAAAGAUACUGUGAAUUCUUGUAUGAUUGUUGCAACUUUGAUUACCAUGAUGUUGUUUGUUGCUACUGUCUAUUCUGUCAUCUCUCUAUGCUGAACACAAUUUUCUUGUGUCAUUGUCAUAUAGGGAUGUCAGAAUGGACAAGAACAUAAUGAUGGAAACGAUUGAGCUAAAUAAUGCCACUGCAUCUGAUAUGACAAAGACCGUAAAUCCAUUCAGUUUUAGCAAUAUUGGAAUACCAUUAUCUGGCACAGGAAGCCAGCAACAAACACCAUCGUGGCAGUCAAAGUUGCAACAAUCAUACAAGAAUUUGCAGCGUCUUUCAUCCACCUUUCCCCUUCUUUUAGUAAUAGCUUGUGCUCUUCUGUGAAUAAUUCCUUAGGGGUUUUCCCAUCGUUGUUUCUCAGCUUGUGGUAUAUAGGUGGUACAAUUUUCUCCACUUCCUAGACAGUUAGUAAUUAUCAUUCUGCAGCAACAACAUUUUUAAAAGACAACCCUUCCCUUUAAAGAAAACGCUGAAAAUUGUAUCUCUUUAAUUCAUACUUAAAAAGCUAACUGACAGAUAUUUAAAUGCAACAAGAUGUGUUUCCAACUGCGAAAUUUACUUUUAGGUAAUCUUCUCACCGUGAACCACAAUAUCUCUCUUUGCAUUUGAAGUGCUGCUCUAGAAACCCUGAGAAAUGAUGGCGGCAUAAUCUUCUCUUCCUUUUGUUGGUCAGCUCAUUAUUUAAACAUUGAUGAUUAAUCCAAACAACGGAACUUUUUGAUUAUACAAUAUUUCUUGUACCUGUGUUAAAUUGGAACGAAGCAACAUGUAUAGUUUAUAAAGAGAGAGGAAAUACCUUAACAGACUGUCUAAUAUCUUGAAACAGCUGUUGUAGUACAACAUUAUUAUCAGCAUCAGGUGGCACAUACUGGAAAAGUUUGUUUUUCUGUUUAAGGAUUGGCUGCCCUAACUUCCCAGCCAAAUGUAGAAUGUUGUUGCCAUCAGUACCAAUUAUUUGAAUAAAUAAGUUUUAAAUUGCUCAUAUAUGGUGUAUAAUCUUACCAUACAUCUCAUUCUUG
Molecule: long non-coding RNA, 2287 nt
Organism: Solanum stenotomum
Lineage: Eukaryota; Viridiplantae; Streptophyta; Magnoliopsida; Solanales; Solanaceae
Exons: 3
Source: RefSeq, a predicted model, not a curated record